This 1221-nucleotide long non-coding RNA is filed under the name Equus caballus (horse). RNAcentral's name for it is "lncRNA (ENSECAG00000041942.2)". The record is from RNAcentral. Lineage: Eukaryota; Metazoa; Chordata; Mammalia; Perissodactyla; Equidae.
GAAGAGGGCAAAAUAUUUUCUCCCAAAUGAGAGCAUGUUUGUUUAUUUUUCAGUAUUUUUUAAAACUACGGUUCGAGAAGGAAAAAUGUGCCUUAAUUGUCCACAGCUUGCUGGUGCUUUUGUGUGUGAGAUAGGGCAGUCCAGACUGGCUUGUUCCUGUCUCCAUGCCUGUCUGCUAAAGAGAUGCUCUGUUGGGUGCAUAUCAUGUAGAUGAUCUGAUUAUUGCAGAGAAAUAAAGAAGUUACAUUUUCUUUUCCAGUCUGAGUGAGGAUGCAAUGUUUUCCAGGAAGUGAACAGCAUAGCAGUAGAUGUUUUGACCUGUGGAAAGCAUCACUUAAUUCUGUAAAGUGUUAAGUGAAAGUUUUAAACCAUGAGUUGACCUUUGGCCUGUGAAGCUGAAUAAAUUGUUCAAAUCUUACCCCUAAAUGUCUCAUUACACAGCCUGAGCUGGCACUGGAAAGGAUUGAAGUGAAGAAGAUGUGUGCGCUCUGAACCCCUGAAGCAUGAGCCUCACUCCGUCCAACAGAAGGUGGUGCUGAGAGCAUUUUCUACAAAGAACACAAGAUGCAAACAGAAGCUGUAUUUUUCUCCAUAAAAUCCACACCAUUGGACCAAUGCGCUUUUGCAGUAAUAGCCAUGGCCUGUGAAAUCUGUGUUAACUUCAGCCAGGGCUAGAACCCACAGUCAUUCUGCCAGCUUCUCUGGGUCAUUAAGAAAAGGACAUGAGACAAGAAGAGGGAGAUCUGCAGAAGCCAAAUGAGGAAAUUAUGAUGAAAUAUUUGACCUACAUCGGGAAAUGUCAAUUAAAAUAAGGUACACUUGCCUGAUGCAUAUGGAGACUGAAGUAGCAGUAAUUUUCCAGCUUCUCGUUCUACUAGUUACCAACCAGCUCUACGAGCAAAAACAUCUGGGAAGCCAGAUACCAUUGGUAGAACAGGUUUUGUUUCUUUUUAUUUCCAGAAGUGCUCUAAAAUUCAUGCUCCGAAAAUCGCCAGAGGAAAAGAAUACGGGUUUGUAGUGAAAAUCUCUCUUUCACAAGAAAAGGCAUUAGAGAUAAAUUUCUUGAUUUUCCCCUGUGUUUGAUCUCCAUACAACUGACAUCCUUGUUUACGUGAUGGCUUCAGCAAGGGAGGCCGGGAAGUUAUGUGAGAGAAUGUUGGAAGACAUUCUUUUUCAAAGAUAGCCCACAAGCGUCCAGGGAGACUGCAUAAGGUACCAGAC